UGCCCCAUGGCUGAGUUGGUUACAGCGUCCGACUGUUAAACUUAAAUGGUUGUGAUAUCGGAAGGUCGUGAGUUCGAGCCUCACUGGGGCAG
Pholiota conissans is the source of this 92-nucleotide non-coding RNA. The record is from the annotation of a GenBank genome assembly. NCBI's taxonomy places the organism in Eukaryota, Fungi, Basidiomycota, Agaricomycetes, Agaricales, Strophariaceae.